This 2383-nucleotide long non-coding RNA is filed under the name Pandoravirus dulcis. RNAcentral describes it as "putative ncRNA". The record is from RNAcentral.
CGAGAGCGCCGCCGCGAUAGGGCCCAGCCUUUCGGCGUGGCCGGGCCGCGAGGCGAUCGCCGCCGCGGUGGCGUACACGGCCAUCUCCGUGGCCAGCACGCCCGGUCCGAUUGACCACGACUGCGAGGCGUCGACGGCCAUGGCAACGAGCGGGCUCGCGUCCAGUCGCGUCUCCAUGUGGCGGAGCGUGCCGUCUCUAAAGCGCACCGACGCCACAUUGUGGCCCUCGGGCGCACCGGCAAUGUGUGCCGCAAAGAAAUGCUCCACGUGGGCGUCGUCAUAGACGCGCAGGAUGGGUUCGGGCAGUGGCGCGCCGUAGGCGUCGCGCGUGCGGCGCACGGGCGCCCACCGAAGGAUCCCAUCGGUGCCGCGUGCGCGACGCUCGCACGUCCACUGGCCGUCGUCGUCGCCGCGGAAAAACUGGCGAUUGUUGACAUAGACAUAGCACACCGAGUCGAUGGGGUGCAAGGCCGCACGCGCACGUUCCCUGCAUCGGGCGCGCUCCUCGGCGAGCAACGCCGCCAUGGCGUCCUGUGUCGAGACGGCAUUGGCUGCCCAUGCGACCGAUGCCUCUUGGUCGUGGCUACCGUCGCCGUCGCCCGUUCGCCAACGCACGAGUGCCUCGCAAAAGGCGACGACAACGGCAUUCUCACGCCGCAUGCACAGAACCGACAGAUGCGCCUUGCGCCACCCUCCACAGUAACAACACGUGCUCGGCGGUGGGAGGUCGUCUGGCAUGAUCGCGGUGGCGAGACGGUGACCCACCUCGAUACCCGCGCGACGGACCAGAUCCGCGAUGGCGGCGUCGCCAACGGCAUGCGGCACGAGCGCGAGGCACGCGCGAUGGACGGUCGUGACAAAGGUCUUAUCGUGCGCCAUAAGCGUGGCGUCGUGCGGGACGCCCUCGAGAAUCGUGCCGCGGCGCGACGACCCAUGACGCCACAAGAGCGUAAACGCCGGAUGGCGCAUGCUCGCGCAGGCCGCCUUGCAAAAGGCCUCGUAGUCGCCGUCUGGUGUCGAUUCGCCGGCGUCGGCAUCGGUGUGGACGUGGUUGCCGGCGUCGCCCUCGUGUUGGUUACUGCACCGGUCGUCGCGUGCGGCCAUGGGCAUGCGGUCGCAGCGCGUCGCGCGCCACGGCCCGCCGGCGGUCCGACGGGCAAAGCACACCGGGGACGGGUCGAGAUGAAAGGAGCACGCGCCGGGCGCGCCGUGCGGGUCGACAAAGAGCGGUCGCAUGCGCGCGUCCAAGAGGGCGCGAUUGAAACGGUCCUCGCGCUCCCCGCCGUCGCCGCAAAAGGCCUCGAUCGUGUCGAGGGCCUGCGCUCGGUCCGGCAGGUCACAUUCGGGCGUCCCUUGUGUGAUCACGGUCGCCAUUCUUUUUCCUCUUGUGCCUGUGGCCGACAGUCUCGGCUCGGUCUGUGGCCUCUUGUCGGGAUGCGGGCCGGCGUCGGUCCUCUUGCAGACGGACGUGCCUGGUUGUUCCUCGUGCAGGUGCCCUCGCCUUUUGCCCUUUUUUUCAAUCUUUUUUCCCGCUCUUCUAGGCGAGUUUGCAAGAAAAGAGCGGAAUCCAAUGGCGCCAAAAGAUAGAUUCGAGGAGAAAAAGAAGAAGAGGCGCAGACUUGGGUCGGGCGCGGGCUUUGCUUUGUGCGGUGGAGGCCUGGCUCCUUGGUCAACUCCAGAGACCACCACGGCCCUUUUUCUUUGUUGCAACUUGCGCACGCCAUUGGUGGUUGAAAAAAGGCGCUCUUGUGCCGACCAAUGCGCGGCGGCGGGUCAAAAUACCACGCAAUCGCCCACCGCCCGGCCAGAGAGGCAGAGAUGGAAAAAAAAAUGGAGAAUCCUUCGGGGAGAUUGCGAGGCGAGGAAAAGGCCACGAGGGACAGAGGCGACAACCGGGCCGACGCUACUUUUUGCGUCAACGGACAAUACAAACCCGAAUACAAGACGCGCACCCUUUUUUACUCGCGACAAUGGCACAACAAAAGAAAAUGCGGCAUAAAAAUGACAACGCCAAUGGCGAUGCGCCCUCUUUUUCUUGUCCGUGCGGCAUCGGCAUCGCAAGUCGACCGAGCGCGUAUACAAAUAUACACAACAACAACGCACCCCACAAGGAGGGGGAGAGAGAGAGAGAGAGAAGAAAAAUGCACACAGAGACACGACAAUGCGGUGACGCGUCGCUCUCGGGAGUCCAUUGGACGAGGUGAGGAGGAGAAAAUAGACGGCCGUUGUCAUUGUGGCGUCGACGGAUCACAGAGGCGAGACGGGCGCAUGCCAGAGGGUGCCGCCGAGCCGAGCGUCGGCGGCGCGCGCCUCUGCCGCGAAUCGGUCCCACGCAUCGACAAUGUCGUCCAUGACAUAGUCGCGCGUAUGAAGCGUGGACACC